AGGGAUAUAGUUCAGUGGCAAAGUUCCUGCCUGGCAAGCAUGAGGUCUGAGUUCGAUUCUUGAUAAUACUG
This 71-nucleotide transfer RNA is filed under the name Cavia porcellus (domestic guinea pig). It matches the Rfam family "tRNA". From Rfam's summary of the family: Transfer RNA (tRNA) molecules are approximately 80 nucleotides in length. Their secondary structure includes four short double-helical elements and three loops (D, anti-codon, and T loops). Further hydrogen bonds mediate the characteristic L-shaped molecular structure. tRNAs have two regions of fundamental functional importance: the anti-codon, which is responsible for specific mRNA codon recognition, and the 3' end, to which the tRNAs corresponding amino acid is attached (by aminoacyl-tRNA synthetases). tRNAs cope with the degeneracy of the genetic code in two manners: having more than one tRNA (with a specific anti-codon) for a particular amino acid; and 'wobble' base-pairing, i.e. permitting non-standard base-pairing at the 3rd anti-codon position. The record is from Rfam by way of RNAcentral. Lineage: Eukaryota; Metazoa; Chordata; Mammalia; Rodentia; Caviidae.